This 1052-nucleotide ribosomal RNA is filed under the name Bacillus altitudinis. Its description in RNAcentral is "bacterial SSU rRNA". It matches the Rfam family "Bacterial small subunit ribosomal RNA", at positions 34 to 1072 of the family's 1533-position model. The record is from RNAcentral. Lineage: Bacteria; Bacillati; Bacillota; Bacilli; Caryophanales; Bacillaceae.
CCCGUGGCGGGGUGCCUAUACAUGCAGUCGAGCGGACAGAAGGGAGCUUGCUCCCGGAUGUUAGCGGCGGACGGGUGAGUAACACGUGGGUAACCUGCCUGUAAGACUGGGAUAACUCCGGGAAACCGGAGCUAAUACCGGAUAGUUCCUUGAACCGCAUGGUUCAAGGAUGAAAGACGGUUUCGGCUGUCACUUACAGAUGGACCCGCGGCGCAUUAGCUAGUUGGUGAGGUAACGGCUCACCAAGGCGACGAUGCGUAGCCGACCUGAGAGGGUGAUCGGCCACACUGGGACUGAGACACGGCCCAGACUCCUACGGGAGGCAGCAGUAGGGAAUCUUCCGCAAUGGACGAAAGUCUGACGGAGCAACGCCGCGUGAGUGAUGAAGGUUUUCGGAUCGUAAAGCUCUGUUGUUAGGGAAGAACAAGUGCAAGAGUAACUGCUUGCACCUUGACGGUACCUAACCAGAAAGCCACGGCUAACUACGUGCCAGCAGCCGCGGUAAUACGUAGGUGGCAAGCGUUGUCCGGAAUUAUUGGGCGUAAAGGGCUCGCAGGCGGUUUCUUAAGUCUGAUGUGAAAGCCCCCGGCUCAACCGGGGAGGGUCAUUGGAAACUGGGAAACUUGAGUGCAGAAGAGGAGAGUGGAAUUCCACGUGUAGCGGUGAAAUGCGUAGAGAUGUGGAGGAACACCAGUGGCGAAGGCGACUCUCUGGUCUGUAACUGACGCUGAGGAGCGAAAGCGUGGGGAGCGAACAGGAUUAGAUACCCUGGUAGUCCACGCCGUAAACGAUGAGUGCUAAGUGUUAGGGGGUUUCCGCCCCUUAGUGCUGCAGCUAACGCAUUAAGCACUCCGCCUGGGGAGUACGGUCGCAAGACUGAAACUCAAAGGAAUUGACGGGAGCCCGCACAAGCGGUGGAGCAUGUGAUUUAAAUUCGAAGCAACGCGGAAGAACCUUACAGGUCGUGACAUCUCUGACGACCCUUAGAGAUAGGCUUUCCCUUCGGGACGGAUGACAGUGGUGCAUGGCUGUCGUCAGCUCGUGUCGUGAGA